UGGUUUUCUUUUAUUAAGGGAGCAUCAUCUUAUUUUCCUGGGACGCGCACUGCAAUCCGUGAACGCGCAUGAAGCGCCGUCACGUGGGAGGUCCCUUUAAGUUUCCAUUGACAGAGGCCUGAGCGUGUCACAUGGACAUGAUAUAAUGAAAAGGCAGGGACAGAAAGGCAGAGUGCGCUGAGCUCUUGGCUGAUGGAGAAGGAGCCCGAAAUGUACGCAGUCAUCUGCCGACAGCCAGCAGUCUGCGGGCAGAGGGACAACGCGGUCGUACCGAGCCCAGCCGAUCCUGGCCGGGGCGAACCGAGCCGGACUCACUGCGCCUCAUCCGACGGGACCUCUCUAUUCGCAGUUGCACCUGCCAGCUAUGACACGUACUUUGAAAGAAGAAAAAAAAUCGCAUUGGUCCCGGAGCAGGAGAGGGGCGCCUUAACAAGCGCUUCACUGGACGUUAAUAUAUGCUGCAGAUGCCUAUUGGCUUCAAAUUAGCAAGAAGGACUGGAAUGACGCACUACUGGCAAAAAGAGGCAGUGUGGACGGAUGGAUGGAUAGACUGGAUAGACUGAUGGACAGAGCGGCUGGGAGGAUGACAUCACCCUUGCCUCUAGGAGCCAGGGCCUGCCAUUCAUGCCAGCGGAUAAGUAGCAACAAGGAUGAGGCUGUGAGUACCCGAACAUGGUUUAGAAUAAAGUAAGUAUUCAUUAUUAUACUCUGAAUGUCUAAAAGAACACAGUGUGUCAGUAUGUAGCUGACACGACAGCUCCUGUGAAUUUCUCCAACACAGGCGUAGCUGUUAUUUGCUGUCAGCCUUGUUUGUUGUGAUGUCUGUUCUGUUUGAAUUUCUCUCUGCUGCUGGAGGCCAAUUUUCAAGCACUAGUCGUCCAUGUCACCGUGUUGCCAUGACAACUCCAUUCAUGUUUAAGACAGACUUCGUCCAAAUGAGAAGCGUCGACCCGUUUCUUCUCCUGUGACACAACAGCUCAUCAACUGACAGACUGACACAUGGACGCAGUGCAGUUGAAAUGAGCGCAACUGAAUUAACUUUACUACCAAUGUUAUGUGUAUUUUGUAUCAUAUUGUUUAUAAAGGUAAGUUUAUUAUCAGGAGAGUCAGAAUUCAUCUAAAUGAUACUGAAAUGCUUACUUUUUUCAUAUGAUGACUUUAUCAAAGUUGAGUGAGGAUUCAACUGCAUGCCACCUCAAAUAAAGUAAAAAACCCUCAAUAGUGUGUUCGGUUCAUCUCACCGCUGCAGCUGUGGUCCAACACCUAAAACAUCUUCCCCCAGAAGCUGGUUUCACAUGGUGGUUUAGAUGUGUGUUCCCGUUGUCUAGCACCAUUUGAAAUCAGUGUUCUUGGGGACAGGAGGACAGCUCUGGCAGUGAGUGAGCCUCAGGAGGACAAUCACAGGACAUCCUUCCCUCCUCCGCUUUCCCCACUCAAAGAUAACUGAUUUCCUCUGGUGCUUAGAGCCCGCUGCAGCCUUCUAGCACCAUUUGAAAUCGGUUAUAAAAAUGUGGAUCAAUGCAUUUGUGAGUCUUCAGCAAAACGCAAGAUAAGGAGAAGAAGGUGACGACUGGCUCUACAUUCCUUGACUGAAGCUUGAAGAGCUCAGUUUGUUACUUGUGGAUUUUGUUUUUUUUUAACUUACUCAAUUCAUGGAUAACAACUUGAUGUUAACUCUAAUAAAUGUAUUACUUGUGCCGAAUAAAAUAAAGUUUAUUAUUUGUGUCAUUUACACCGUCAGCAACCAGUCGAUUUUGCUGCAGUUCCUACUGACCACCACUAGAUGUUGAUAGAAUGGUUUGAGGUGAGCGAGGUGUAACACAGCACAGUAGGGCAGAAUUACAAAAAAUCACAUGCUGGUUUAAUUUAAACACUCUUUCAAAUAUUUUAGACACAAAUGGGAGGUUGGAUAUCGGAGUAUAGUUUGCUAAGAUGUCUGGGUCAAGUGAAAAAGGCUCGAUAACAGCAGUCUUAAACGCCUGUGGUACAUAACCUGUUGUUAAAGACAAGUUGAUCUGAUCUAAGAAGGAAAGGCCAAUCAAGGGAAAGACGCCCUUGAGGAGCUUAGUU
This is a long non-coding RNA of Scatophagus argus, 2070 nucleotides long. RefSeq lists it as uncharacterized. The transcript has 4 exons. NCBI's taxonomy places the organism in Eukaryota, Metazoa, Chordata, Actinopteri, Scatophagidae. The record is from RefSeq and is a predicted model, not a curated record.